RNAcentral lists this ribosomal RNA (956 nucleotides) under Acinetobacter sp. NF129. RNAcentral describes it as "bacterial SSU rRNA". It matches the Rfam family "Bacterial small subunit ribosomal RNA", at positions 59 to 1007 of the family's 1533-position model. The record is from RNAcentral. Lineage: Bacteria; Pseudomonadati; Pseudomonadota; Gammaproteobacteria; Moraxellales; Moraxellaceae.
AAGUCGAGCGGGCGAGGUUGCUUCGGUAACUGAGCUAGCGGCGGACGGGUGAGUAAAGCUUAGGAAUCUGCCUAUUAGUGGGGGACAACAUUCCGAAAGGGAUGCUAAUACCGCAUACGUCCUACGGGAGAAAGCAGGGGAUCACUUGUGACCUUGCGCUAAUAGAUGAGCCUAAGUCGGAUUAGCUAGUUGGUGGGGUAAAGGCCUACCAAGGCGACGAUCUGUAGCGGGUCUGAGAGGAUGAUCCGCCACACUGGGACUGAGACACGGCCCAGACUCCUACGGGAGGCAGCAGUGGGGAAUAUUGGACAAUGGGGGGAACCCUGAUCCAGCCAUGCCGCGUGUGUGAAGAAGGCCUUUUGGUUGUAAAGCACUUUAAGCGAGGAGGAGGCUUACCUGGUUAAUACCUGGGAUAAGUGGACGUUACUCGCAGAAUAAGCACCGGCUAACUCUGUGCCAGCAGCCGCGGUAAUACAGAGGGUGCGAGCGUUAAUCGGAUUUACUGGGCGUAAAGCGCGCGUAGGUGGUUAAUUAAGUCAAAUGUGAAAUCCCCGAGCUUAACUUGGGAAUUGCAUUCGAUACUGGUUAGCUAGAGUAUGGGAGAGGAUGGUAGAAUUCCAGGUGUAGCGGUGAAAUGCGUAGAGAUCUGGAGGAAUACCGAUGGCGAAGGCAGCCAUCUGGCCUAAUACUGACACUGAGGUGCGAAAGCAUGGGGAGCAAACAGGAUUAGAUACCCUGGUAGUCCAUGCCGUAAACGAUGUCUACUAGCCGUUGGGGGAUUUGAUCCUUUAGUGGCGCAGCUAACGCGAUAAGUAGACCGCCUGGGGAGUACGGUCGCAAGACUAAAACUCAAAUGAAUUGACGGGGGCCCGCACAAGCGGUGGAGCAUGUGGUUUAAUUCGAUGCAACGCGAAGAACCUUACCUGGCCUUGACAUAGUAGAGACUUUCCAGAGAU